AACUACAGAUGCAUGCCACCAUGCUUGGCUAAUUUUUAAAUUUUUGUAGAGAUGGACAUCUUGCUAUGUUGCCCAGGCUGGUCUUGAACUCCUGGUCUCAAGUAGUCCUCCCACCUUGUGCCUCCCAAAAUGUUGGGAUUACAGGCAAGGCAGCAAAUUUAGAAGAAAUGUAUCAACACUAUUAAUAGAGUUAGGAUUCCAAAUUAAAAAAAAAACUAAAAGAUUAUAUAUCAACAAAGCCAAUAUCUGGAAUAGUGCCUUAGAUGCAUUCAGAAAUCGAAACUUUAAUCCUUCAUAUGCAAUUGAAGUAGCAUAUGUUAUUGAAAAUGAUAAUUUUGGAAGUGAGCAUCCUGGAUCAAAGCAAGAAUUUCUGAGUCUCUUAAUGCAACAUCUUGAGAACUCAUCAUUGUUUGAAGGGUCCUUGUCAAAGAACUUGUCUCUAAAUUCUCAAGCUCUGAAAGAGAAUCUUUACUAUGAAGCUGGCAAAAUGCUUGCCAUUUCUUUAGUUCAUGGUGGUCCUUCACCUGGUUUCUUUUCUAAAACCUUGUUUAACUGCCUUGUUUAUGG
This 567-nucleotide small RNA is filed under the name Pan troglodytes (chimpanzee). Its description in RNAcentral is "processed transcript". Lineage: Eukaryota; Metazoa; Chordata; Mammalia; Primates; Hominidae. The record is from RNAcentral.